AAGUCAAUAAUUUGUCUAAAAACUCAAGAUAUGGCACCAACCAUUACUAUCAAUAAUACGUUUCACUUAUUAUCUUUGAAUAUAUGUGUUAUCUUCAAUGCCUUAUAACUCCUUCAUCUAGACUUAGAAUUCAUCAAACAGUAUAUUAAAAGUGUAGUCAAAAAAAUAUUCUCUCCAAUCCUAGUUGCCAAUUCUUUGUUGCUCUCUAUAAGCAUAUGUUAUGCUCCAAAGAGAGAUAGUAGAUACAAAUUUGAUAUCUUAACUUUGAGCACCUUUAAUUCCUUCAUAAAAACUCCAA
Molecule: long non-coding RNA, 298 nt
Filed under: Physcomitrium patens
Lineage: Eukaryota; Viridiplantae; Streptophyta; Bryopsida; Funariales; Funariaceae
Description: long non-coding RNA (PPAT_LNC009005)
Source: RNAcentral